UGAAUACGAGACGCUAAGGCGUCGAAGUAGUGUAUGUCAUACUUCCAAGAAAAGCUUGCACUGUCAUAGAUAAAAAACGCCUGUACCAUAACCGACACAGGUGGGUAGGUAGAGUAUACUAAGGGGCGCGAGAUAACUCUCUCUAAGGAACUCGGCAAAAUAACUCCGUAACUUCGGGAGAAGGAGUGCCUUAUUUAUAAGGCUGCAAUAACAAGAUCCAAGCAACUGUUUAUCAAAAACACAGGUCUCCGCUAAGUCGUAAGACGAUGUAUGGGGGCUGACGCCUGCCCAGUGCCAGAAGGUUAAAGAAGUUGGUUAGCUUUUGCGAAGCUGAUAACUGAAGCCCUGGUGAACGGCGGCCGUAACUAUAACGGUCCUAAGGUAGCGAAAUUCCUUGUCGGGUAAGUUCCGACCCGCACGAAAGGCGUAAUGAUUUGGAUACUGUCUCGGAGAGGGGCUCGGUGAAAUAGACUUGUCUGUGAAGAUGCGGACUACCUGCACCAGGACAGAAAGACCCUAUGAAGCUUUACUGUAACUUGAAAUUGAAAUUGGACUUUAUUCGCGCAGCAUAGGUGGGAGGCGUUGAUUAUAAUCUCGUGGGAUUAUUGGAGCCAUCAGUGAGAUACCACUCUUGUAAUGUUAGAUUUCUAACUUUGAAUCAUUAUCUGGUCAAAGAACAGUUUCAGGCGGGCAGUUUGACUGGGGCGGUCGCCUCCUAAACGGUAACGGAGGCGUACAAAGGUUUCCUCUGAACGGUUAGAAAUCGUAUCUAGAGUGUAAAGGCAUAAGGAAGCUUGACUGUGAGACCUACAAGUCGAGCAGGGACGAAAGUCGGUCUUAGUGAUCUGACGGUACUGAGUGGAAAGGCCGUCACUCAACGGAUAAAAGUUACUCUAGGAUAACAGGCUGAUCUCCCCCAAGAGUUCACAUCGACGGGGAGGUUUGGCACCUCGAUGUCGGCUCAUCGCAUCCUGGGGCGGUAGUACGUCCCAAGGGUUGGGCUGUUCGCCCAUGAAAGCGGUACGCGAGCUGGGUUCAGAACGUCGUGAGACAGUUCGGUCCAUAUCCGGUGUAGGCGUUAGAAUAUUGAGAGGAGCCUUCUUUAGUACGAGAGGACCGAGAAGGACAUACCUCUGGUGUACCAGUUAUCGUGCCAACGGUAAACGCUGGGUAGCUAUGUAUGGAGUGGAUAACCGCUGAAAGCAUCUAAGUGGGAAGCCCACCUCAAGAUAAGUA
RNAcentral lists this ribosomal RNA (1236 nucleotides) under metagenome. Its description in RNAcentral is "bacterial LSU rRNA". It matches the Rfam family "Bacterial large subunit ribosomal RNA", at positions 1564 to 2810 of the family's 2925-position model. The record is from RNAcentral.